GAGGAAUUCCUUGAGUACCGACUGAUGGAAUUAAUUUAUUGAAAAGAUAUAUGAAAUUUAAACUCAGCCGGGUCUUUUUUGACCCAUGUUGCGCAUCAAACUAGUCUACUACUGUGAUGUUUUUGUCCAUUUUAGCAGUUCAGUAAAUGUUACUAUUACCUUAAAAUGUCUGUAAAUAUGUGUUUUAUUUGUAACCGUAUUAUAAAUGUGAUGACAGUUGUACAGGCUGUUGAUGUUUGAAGGAUAACUAAAGAUAACACUGCUCUAAGAUACAUAAAAAUGGUGUUGUAAGCCAUCUGUGUGGCUUAUUUUAUUAACUGUUUAUAUAAUGUGUCUUUGUUAAGUAUGUAAUGUUUUUCUUUUUUUUAAAAAUGUUUCAUAUUGUAUAUAACGAUCAAAACCUCUCUUAGUUUGGGGAUAAAUCAGAGAAGAUGUGGUGAGGAUUUUCACAGACUUUGUUGUGGGUACAAAAAUAUGUAUUUCAAAAUAAAGUGUGCAUGGUAAUCCCAGCUCUUAAUGCUGUAAAUGUCUUUGAAAAGUGGUGGAUGGCAUGCUGCUCUCUGUGCCGCUGCGUAUGGCAUGGCUGGCGGCCAGCCACCAGGCGGGAGAUGGCAUAUGCACACAGCACUGGCCUCACUGACUCAGUACUAUUAAAGGGAAAGUGUACGAACAGUUUUAUUAGAUAUCAAACAGACUAUGUCACGACUCUGAGUAUAAGUGGCCACUUUUAAACAAAAACAAAUGAAGCGCUGUAUUGAGAUGACGACUGUUGUGAAUUGGCGCUAUAUAAAUAAAAUUUGAUUGAUUUGA
Xyrichtys novacula (pearly razorfish) is the source of this 810-nucleotide non-coding RNA. NCBI's taxonomy places the organism in Eukaryota, Metazoa, Chordata, Actinopteri, Labriformes, Labridae. The record is from the annotation of a GenBank genome assembly.